Molecule: ribosomal RNA, 484 nt
Filed under: uncultured bacterium
Lineage: Bacteria
Description: partial 16S ribosomal RNA
Rfam family: Bacterial small subunit ribosomal RNA
Source: RNAcentral
AGUGAACGCUGGCGGCAGGCCUAACACAUGCAAGUCGAGCGGAUGAAGGGAGCUUGCUCCUGGAUUCAGCGGCGGACGGGUGAGUAAUGCCUAGGAAUCUGCCUGGUAGUGGGGGAUAACGUCCGGAAACGGGCGCUAAUACCGCAUACGUCCUGAGGGAGAAAGGGGGGGAUCUUCGGACCUCACGCUAUCAGAUGAGCCUAGGUCGGAUUAGCUAGUUGGUGGGGUAAAGGCCUACCAAGGCGACGAUCCGUAACUGGUCUGAGAGGAUGAUCAGUCACACUGGAACUGAGACACGGUCCAGACUCCUACGGGAGGCAGCAGUGGGGAAUAUUGGACAAUGGGCGAAAGCCUGAUCCAGCCAUGCCGCGUGUGUGAAGAAGGUCUUCGGAUUGUAAAGCACUUUAAGUGGGGAGGAAGGGCAGUAAGUUAAUACCUUGCUGUUUUGACGUUACCAACAGAAUAAGCACCGGCUAACUUCGUG